This 219-nucleotide ribosomal RNA is filed under the name uncultured bacterium. Its description in RNAcentral is "partial 16S ribosomal RNA". It matches the Rfam family "Bacterial small subunit ribosomal RNA", at positions 122 to 334 of the family's 1533-position model. The record is from RNAcentral.
CAAUCUGCCGAGAAGUGGGGGAUAGCUCGCCGAAAGGCGAAUUAAUACCGCAUAUGAUCAGGGACGACAUCUUCCCAACAUCAAAGCCGGGGUAACCUGGCGCUUCUUGAUGAGCCCGCGGCCUAUCAGCUAGUUGGUGAGGUAACGGCUCACCAAGGCUUUGACGGGUAGCUGGUCUGAGAGGACGACCAGUCACACUGGAACUGAGACACGGUCCAG